CAGUCGCCGCGGGAAUACGGAGGGGGCUAGCGUUGUUCGGAAUUACUGGGCGUAAAGCGCACGUAGGCUGCUUUGUAAGUCAGAGGUGAAAGCCCGGGGCUCAACCCCGGAUGUGCCUUUGAGACUGCAGGGCUAGAACGUCGGAGAGGUGAGUGGAAUUCCGAGUGUAGAGGUGAAAUUCGUAGAUAUUCGGAAGAACACCAGUGGCGAAGGCGGCUCACUGGACGACUGUUGACGCUGAGGUGCGAAAGCGUGGGGAGCAAACAGGAUUAGAUACCCCAGUAGUCCCUGUCUCUUAUAC
Molecule: ribosomal RNA, 301 nt
Filed under: uncultured bacterium
Lineage: Bacteria
Description: partial 16S ribosomal RNA
Rfam family: Bacterial small subunit ribosomal RNA
Source: RNAcentral